RNAcentral lists this ribosomal RNA (403 nucleotides) under Verrucomicrobiota bacterium. RNAcentral describes it as "Verrucomicrobia bacterium partial 16S ribosomal RNA". It matches the Rfam family "Bacterial small subunit ribosomal RNA", at positions 355 to 776 of the family's 1533-position model. Lineage: Bacteria; Pseudomonadati; Verrucomicrobiota. The record is from RNAcentral.
UGGGGAAUAUUGCACAAUGGGCGCAAGCCUGAUGCAGCAACGCCGCGUGAACGAUGAAGGUCUUCGGAUCGUAAAGUUCUGUUGCAGGGGAAGAUAAUGACGGUACCCUGUGAGGAAGCCCCGGCUAACUACGUGCCAGCAGCCGCGGUAAUACGUAGGGGGCUAGCGUUAUCCGGAUUUACUGGGCGUAAAGGGUGCGUAGGUGGUCUUUCAAGUCGGUGGUUAAAGGCUACGGCUCAACCGUAGUUAGCCUCCGAAACUGGAAGACUUGAGUGCAGGAGAGGAAAGUGGACUUCCCAGUGUAGCGGUGAAAUGCGUAGAUAUUGGGAGGAACACCAGUAGCGAAGGCGGCUUUCUGGUCUGCAACUGACACUGAGGCACGAAAGCGUGGGUAGCAAACAGG